AGAGUUUGAUCAUGGCUCAGAUUGAACGCUGGCGGCAGGCCUAACACAUGCAAGUCGAGCGGUAGAGAGAAGCUUGCUUCUCUUGAGAGCGGCGGACGGGUGAGUAAUGCCUAGGAAUCUGCCUGGUAGUGGGGGAUAACGUUCGGAAACGGACGCUAAUACCGCAUACGUCCUACGGGAGAAAGCAGGGGACCUUCGGGCCUUGCGCUAUCAGAUGAGCCUAGGUCGGAUUAGCUAGUUGGUGAGGUAAUGGCUCACCAAGGCGACGAUCCGUAACUGGUCUGAGAGGAUGAUCAGUCACACUGGAACUGAGACACGGUCCAGACUCCUACGGGAGGCAGCAGUGGGGAAUAUUGGACAAUGGGCGAAAGCCUGAUCCAGCCAUGCCGCGUGUGUGAAGAAGGUCUUCGGAUUGUAAAGCACUUUAAGUUGGGAGGAAGGGUACUUACCUAAUACGUGAGUAUUUUGACGUUACCGACAGAAUAAGCACCGGCUAACUCUGUGCCAGCAGCCGCGGUAAUACAGAGGGUGCAAGCGUUAAUCGGAAUUACUGGGCGUAAAGCGCGCGUAGGUGGUUCG
Molecule: ribosomal RNA, 579 nt
Filed under: uncultured Gammaproteobacteria bacterium
Lineage: Bacteria; Pseudomonadati; Pseudomonadota; Gammaproteobacteria
Description: bacterial SSU rRNA
Rfam family: Bacterial small subunit ribosomal RNA
Source: RNAcentral